RNAcentral lists this ribosomal RNA (706 nucleotides) under uncultured Lachnospiraceae bacterium. RNAcentral describes it as "bacterial SSU rRNA". It matches the Rfam family "Bacterial small subunit ribosomal RNA", at positions 64 to 771 of the family's 1533-position model. The record is from RNAcentral. Lineage: Bacteria; Bacillati; Bacillota; Clostridia; Lachnospirales; Lachnospiraceae.
GAACGGAGCUGCUUUGAUGAAGUUUUCGGAUGGAUUUAAAGCAGCUUAGUGGCGGACGGGUGAGUAACGCGUGGGUAACCUGCCUCACACUGGGGGAUAACAGUUAGAAAUAGCUGCUAAUACCGCAUAAGCGCACGGUUCCGCAUGGAACAGUGUGAAAAACUCCGGUGGUGUGAGAUGGACCCGCGUCUGAUUAGGCAGUUGGCGGGGUAACGGCCCACCAAACCGACGAUCAGUAGCCGGCCUGAGAGGGCGACCGGCCACAUUGGGACUGAGACACGGCCCAAACUCCUACGGGAGGCAGCAGUGGGGAAUAUUGCACAAUGGGGGAAACCCUGAUGCAGCGACGCCGCGUGAGCGAAGAAGUAUUUCGGUAUGUAAAGCUCUAUCAGCAGGGAAGAUAAUGACGGUACCUGACUAAGAAGCCCCGGCUAACUACGUGCCAGCAGCCGCGGUAAUACGUAGGGGGCAAGCGUUAUCCGGAUUUACUGGGUGUAAAGGGAGCGUAGACGGCAAGGCAAGUCUGAUGUGAAAACCCAGGGCUUAACCCUGGGACUGCAUUGGAAACUGUCUGGCUCGAGUGCCGGAGAGGUAAGCGGAAUUCCUAGUGUAGCGGUGAAAUGCGUAGAUAUUAGGAAGAACACCAGUGGCGAAGGCGGCUUACUGGACGGUAACUGACGUUGAGGCUCGAAAGCGUGGGGAGCAA